GACGAACGCUGGCGGCGUGCCUAAUACAUGCAAGUAGAACGCUGAAGGAGGAGCUUGCUCUUCUGGAUGAGUUGCGAACGGGUGAGUAACGCGUAGGUAACCUGCCUGGUAGCGGGGGAUAACUAUUGGAAACGAUAGCUAAUACCGCAUAACAGUAGAUGUUGCAUGACAUUUACUUAAAAGGUGCAAUUGCAUCACUACCAGAUGGACCUGCGUUGUAUUAGCUAGUUGGUGGGGUAACGGCUCACCAAGGCGACGAUACAUAGCCGACCUGAGAGGGGGCUCGGCCACACUGGGACUGAGACACGGCCCAGACUCCUAGGGGAGGCAGCAGUAGGGAAUCUUCGGCAAUGGCCGGAAGUCUGACCGAGCAACGCCGCGUGAGGGAAGAAGGUUUUCGGGUCGUAAAGCUCUGUUGUAAGAGAAGAACGAGUGUGAGAGUGGAAAGUUCACACUGUGACGGUAUCUUACCAGAAAGGGACGGCUAACUACGUG
Molecule: ribosomal RNA, 495 nt
Filed under: uncultured bacterium
Lineage: Bacteria
Description: partial 16S ribosomal RNA
Rfam family: Bacterial small subunit ribosomal RNA
Source: RNAcentral